GAGGAGGUAAGUUAAAAUUUAAACUUUGUGGUUCAUGUCCAUAAAAUAUGCUUGGGCAUCUUCCUUU
This 67-nucleotide transfer RNA is filed under the name Clinostomum complanatum. RNAcentral's name for it is "tRNA-Met". Lineage: Eukaryota; Metazoa; Platyhelminthes; Trematoda; Strigeidida; Clinostomidae. The record is from RNAcentral.